GGUCUAGGAUGCUGGAAUGCACUUAGUCUGAAAACUCCGGUGCCUAAGGAUGAAUCUGCGGACUAUCAGGUUGUAGUCAGGGUAAUGACCUGACUAGCCUAUGACGGAUAUGGGUUGUGGGAGCAAUAACCCAGAGAUGAUAUCUGAGACACGAUAUCAGGCCCUACGGGGCGCAGCAGGCGCGAAAACUUCGCAAUGUGCGAAAGCACGACGAGGGAAUCCCAAGUGCUUGCACGUAAGUGUAAGCUGUUUCUCUGUUUAAAACGCAGAGAGAGUAAGGGCUGGGUAAGACGGGUGCCAGCCGCCGCGGUAAUACCUGCAGCUCAAGUGGUGGCCGUUAUUAUUGGGCCUAAAACGUCCGUAGCCGGUUUAUUAAAUGCCUGGGUAAAUCGGACCGCUUAACGGUUCGAAUUCCGGGUAGACUGAUAAACUUGAGACCGGGAGAAGUUAGAGGUACUCCUGGGGUAGAGGUGAAAUUCUGUAAUCCUAGGGGGACCACCAGUGGCGAAAGCGUCUAACUAGAACGGGUCUGACGGUGAGGGACGAAGCCCUGGGGCGCAAACGGGAUUAGAUACCCCGGUAGUCCAGGGUGUAAACGCUGCUUGCUUGAUGUUAGUCGGGCUCCGAGCCCGAUUAGUGUCGG
This 643-nucleotide ribosomal RNA is filed under the name uncultured archaeon. RNAcentral's name for it is "bacterial SSU rRNA". It matches the Rfam family "Archaeal small subunit ribosomal RNA", at positions 156 to 804 of the family's 1478-position model. The record is from RNAcentral.